AUUGAACGCUGGCGGCAGGCUUAACACAUGCAAGUCGAGCGGGGUGAUGGUGCUUGCACUAUCACUUAGCGGCGGACGGGUGAGUAAUGCUUAGGAAUCUGCCUAUUAGUGGGGGACAACAUCUCGAAAGGGAUGCUAAUACCGCAUACGUCCUACGGGAGAAAGCAGGGGAUCACUUGUGACCUUGCGCUAAUAGAUGAGCCUAAGUCGGAUUAGCUAGUUGGUGGGGUAAAGGCCUACCAAGGCGACGAUCUGUAGCGGGUCUGAGAGGAUGAUCCGCCACACUGGGACUGAGACACGGCCCAGACUCCUACGGGAGGCAGCAGUGGGGAAUAUUGGACAAUGGGGGGAACCCUGAUCCAGCCAUGCUGCGUGUGUGAAGAAGGCCUUAUGGUUGUAAAGCACCUUAAGCGAGGAGGAGGCUCUUUUGGUUAAUACCCAAGAUGAGUGGACGUUACUCGCAGAAUAAGCACCGGCUAACUCUGUGCCAGCCGCCGCGGUAA
RNAcentral lists this ribosomal RNA (503 nucleotides) under uncultured bacterium. RNAcentral's name for it is "partial 16S ribosomal RNA". It matches the Rfam family "Bacterial small subunit ribosomal RNA", at positions 30 to 523 of the family's 1533-position model. The record is from RNAcentral.